RNAcentral lists this unclassified non-coding RNA (215 nucleotides) under Hevea brasiliensis (rubber tree). The record is from RNAcentral. Lineage: Eukaryota; Viridiplantae; Streptophyta; Magnoliopsida; Malpighiales; Euphorbiaceae.
GAGAAAUAUUGCAAAAGGAAAAGAAGGAAAAGAGUUUGGCCUUGGCAGAAGGCAGACCUUUACCUCCAUUGCAUGUAGGCGAGGACCUCCGCUCUCUGAACAUGGAUGACUUUCGAUAUGCACAUGAACAGGUUUGUGCAAGCGCGUCGUCAGAAUCGACAAAUAUGAGCGAGCUUCUCCAAUGGAAUGAGUUGUACGGAGAAGGUGGAUCAAGG